RNAcentral lists this long non-coding RNA (1063 nucleotides) under Taeniopygia guttata (zebra finch). RNAcentral describes it as "lncRNA (ENSTGUG00000024946.1)". Lineage: Eukaryota; Metazoa; Chordata; Aves; Passeriformes; Estrildidae. The record is from RNAcentral.
CGUUGUUGUACCAGGUCAUCUGAACAGAAAAGUAGAUGAUCCAGGUGUAUCAUUAAUAUUGAAUGUAUAUUAAACUAGUUUUUGCUCAGAAAAAUUAAGAAAUUAUAGAUUUGUCUGGGAAGAGGGGAUAACAGGAGAUAUUUUCAAGAUAGUAUGUAAUUGUUUUAAUAUCUCUCUAGGUAAGCAAAAGCGUCUUUUCUUUAUUUUCUCUUUAUUACAGAAAUUAAAUUCAGGCUUUCUAAAGUAGUCUGGAAUUUACAAAUGAGGACUAAUUCAUUAAUAUCCUGAAAAUGUAAGCAACACUAUAAAGAGUGAUGGCAAGGAGCCUGAAAAUGUUACCAAACAAACGUGUUAUAUCCAAGAAGAAAAAGUGUCUGAAACAGUGAACUUCCAGAGACAUUUUCUGGGCUCCUUCUGCUUUGAGCAACACGAACACAAUCUUCCUAAUCCGCCACUCCUGCUCUGACAUUCCAGCCUCAUGCAUAGCCAUUGGCAAACUUGGAACAUGCAUCCAGUGCAUUUUUUUGGUUGAAAUGCUACAUCUGGCUUAGCUGGCAAGUGUUACUAUGCCUCUAGAAAGUAAGCCAAAGUGAAAAAAAAAAAAAAAAAAAAAAAAAAAGGCAAAAAACCCAGGAACCUUAACUACAUGCAGGAAAAGAUUACUGGAAUAUACUGUCCUCUUUGUUUCCUGGAAAACUGAAACUCCAUUUAUGGCCUCUGACCUUUGGAAAGAUGGCCACAGAAGAAAACCAGCUACCUAAGAGUUAAUGUAUGCAGUGUACUACUGUGAAGGAAAUAAGGGGAAAAAGGAGCACUCUACCAUAUGAAAAACCACAUUCAGUAUCUACAAACAGAUUAAAAUCACAUAUGGAAAAAGUAUCUUCCACGAGAGAGAAUUAAUGAACAAGCACAGCGGCCCAAGUUCUGCCCUUAGGUGAAGUCAAUGAGAAAAAGUAAGUGCAUAUUUUUGGCCCAUUAUGUCUUUUCUUACAAUGUUUUCUUAAUAUAAAUCCAAAUCUAGGGACCUGAUCAACUCCAAAGUUUCUCAAGUUUUCUCUUGAGC